GACAUUGUCUACCGUCCGGAUGU
Molecule: non-coding RNA, 23 nt
Filed under: Arabidopsis thaliana (thale cress)
Lineage: Eukaryota; Viridiplantae; Streptophyta; Magnoliopsida; Brassicales; Brassicaceae
Source: RNAcentral